Molecule: non-coding RNA, 67 nt
Submitted as: unclassified sequences
Source: Rfam
AAUGGUCCUCGGUAGUGGUUUCCGCAAGGCGCCAAAGUUUUGCGUGAACUUCAAUCGACGAUUCAUU